GCAUCUGUUGCUCAGUUGGUUAGAGCGCUGCACCGGAAUCGCAGGGCCGUAGGUUCAAUUCCUACCAGAGGAC
This 73-nucleotide transfer RNA is filed under the name Paramuricea clavata. It matches the Rfam family "tRNA". Rfam says of the family: Transfer RNA (tRNA) molecules are approximately 80 nucleotides in length. Their secondary structure includes four short double-helical elements and three loops (D, anti-codon, and T loops). Further hydrogen bonds mediate the characteristic L-shaped molecular structure. tRNAs have two regions of fundamental functional importance: the anti-codon, which is responsible for specific mRNA codon recognition, and the 3' end, to which the tRNAs corresponding amino acid is attached (by aminoacyl-tRNA synthetases). tRNAs cope with the degeneracy of the genetic code in two manners: having more than one tRNA (with a specific anti-codon) for a particular amino acid; and 'wobble' base-pairing, i.e. permitting non-standard base-pairing at the 3rd anti-codon position. The record is from Rfam by way of RNAcentral. Lineage: Eukaryota; Metazoa; Cnidaria; Anthozoa; Malacalcyonacea; Plexauridae.